RNAcentral lists this long non-coding RNA (1074 nucleotides) under Gallus gallus (chicken). The record is from RNAcentral. Lineage: Eukaryota; Metazoa; Chordata; Aves; Galliformes; Phasianidae.
GCAAAUGGGCAUUUCCAUGUGACUGUAUUGUGCUCAGUGCAGUGUCUACCUGUGUUGCAGAAUGAGCUCCAUGGCAUUGCAAAGAAUGCACCAAAGUAAGUAGUGCAGGAAAGCAUUUUUUCCAGUUAGAAUGUUGGCCUUCCAAAGCAGGCCUGCCUUGGUUGCACUGGCUUGCAUCUCAGCUGGUGUUCUGUUGUCAGGGUUCCCGUAUUUCUAGCGGUUGGCAGGGAGGUGACUCAUGCCAUCGUAAGGCCGUGGCGAUGUGCCGGUAAGAAUGUCCCAUGUCAAGUAAAAGAUGGCUGUGUGAGACGAGGGGAAGCCAUGGCCUGACAGCUGCCCUUCUGGUCAGCAGUGGGAUUCUGCGGGGUGCAUUAGAAGGCCAUUUCUCUGUAAUGCUUUCUCUGUUGGUUCCAGUCAAGAUGUGGCCGUUGUAUGAAGUAAGUUUGUGGUUGCUGUGAAGCUGGGAGGAAUGUUGACUGCCUUGGGGGUUGAGAGGCCUUGCAGCAAGAUGUGGAGAAAUGUGAGGGUGGUCCCCAUCUGCAUGAAGAAGAGCAAGCGCUGCGUUCUGCACCUGGGAUGCGGCAGCCCUGGCUAAUGUCUGCGUGUGGAUGAAUUGCAACAGGAUCCUGGGAACUUUUAGGAAAGGUAGGAAGGAGGACCCGGGGAACUACAGGCCGGUGAGCCUCACCUCUGUGCCUGGGAAGAUCAUGGAGCAGAUCCUCCUACAAGAGGAAGAAACUUACAGGAGAAAAAAACUACAGGAAAGAUUGCUUCACGUGUAAUGAAAAGCUAGUGUCCAGAAGAUCACUGCGGCCAGAUGCCAAUUUUGAUGCCCUCGUCAGUAAGACUUGUCCAAGCCCUGAUGUAUGUGAAGCUCAUCAGGAGGGAAUGCUAGCAAGAAUCAGCUAACACAAUAGCAGCAAGCUUUCAGUGACAGCGUUCAGGAAGGGUGAUGAUUCAGGCUGGGACCAGAUACCUUGGUGUCACUGGAAUCCAUGGAGCUGACACAGUCCUCUGAUGGCUGGAUUUCUGCUUGCUAAGGGUAUUCCUUCUGGUUUCUUGGCUUUUCAGGUG